AACAUCAGUGACUAUAGGUGCGAUAGUAGAUCCAAACUUCAGCCAAACAUGGGGCCACUUUUCUUCGGAGAGUAAAUUUUUAAAAGAGUCUUUUGCUGAUACAGAGACUGCACGAUCUGAAUCAAAAAAACCCAUAACCCAAGGUGUGAUAUAGAAUUUGAGCCAUGGUGCAAGUUUUUUUUGAAGCGCAGAAGAUAGAACAGACAUGAAGACAAAGAUUUUUAACCGCACAUGUCGUUCCACUUCUAUAGAUAGUCGAGGAAAUAAAACUGCCAAAGCAUUUAGAAACUGUUCAUUGUCAAACUGUG
Schizosaccharomyces pombe (fission yeast) is the source of this 308-nucleotide non-coding RNA. The record is from the annotation of a GenBank genome assembly. NCBI's taxonomy places the organism in Eukaryota, Fungi, Ascomycota, Schizosaccharomycetes, Schizosaccharomycetales, Schizosaccharomycetaceae.